GGAAUUUUUGGAAUUUUCGGUAAUUCGGAUUUUUUCGGAAUUUUUGGAAUUUUGGAAUUUUUGGAAUUUUGGAAUUUUUGGAAUGUCGGAACUUUGGAAUUUCGGAAUUUUGGAAUUUUUGGAAUUUUGGAAUUUUUGGAAUGUCGGAAUUUUAGAAUUUCGGAAUUUUGGAGUUUUUGGAAUUUUGCAUUUU
Caenorhabditis elegans is the source of this 193-nucleotide non-coding RNA. NCBI's taxonomy places the organism in Eukaryota, Metazoa, Nematoda, Chromadorea, Rhabditida, Rhabditidae. The record is from Ensembl.